Long non-coding RNA from Spodoptera frugiperda (fall armyworm), 213 nucleotides. RefSeq lists it as uncharacterized. NCBI's taxonomy places the organism in Eukaryota, Metazoa, Arthropoda, Insecta, Lepidoptera, Noctuidae. The transcript has 2 exons. The record is from RefSeq and is a predicted model, not a curated record.
ACGAAUUUGUCUGGAUAUCAUCACUUUUUAAAGAUAAACAAGCAGCUCCAUCGAGUCUUGGCUAGUUUUUUACAGAAUGUUUUUGGUGGGAUAAUCUAUUAUAUAAAAAUAAGUCGGGUUUUCCUUCCUGACGCUAUAACUCCAGAACGCACGAACCGAUUUCCAAGGUUUUGCAUUCGUUGGAAAGGUUUCGGACUCUGUGAGGUUUAUAGC